RNAcentral lists this non-coding RNA (23 nucleotides) under Cricetulus griseus (Chinese hamster). Lineage: Eukaryota; Metazoa; Chordata; Mammalia; Rodentia; Cricetidae. The record is from RNAcentral.
AUGAAGGAAAAAGAACCAGUUCC